This is a long non-coding RNA of Sciurus carolinensis (gray squirrel), 1249 nucleotides long. RefSeq lists it as uncharacterized. Lineage: Eukaryota; Metazoa; Chordata; Mammalia; Rodentia; Sciuridae. The record is from RefSeq and is a predicted model, not a curated record. The transcript has 7 exons.
CGCGGGCGACUCGUGGUGCCGGAGAGGGGGCGCUUCCCGAGGCGGGAACCGAGGGGGUCCCCUCGGGGUGUGCCCCCAGCCCCUCGCGCGGCCUGGCCCUGAGCAGGCGCCCUUGAGCCGGGGUUUCUUCCUGGAGGGCCACUGGGGGCUUUCCGUAUAGGGGCGGCGUGCGGCGCGGGCUGGAGUCACUGCGGGAGCAGGACUUGGGCUGGAUGGAGCCCGGCGGGCGGUCGAUGGCUCUCUGCGGGGAGGUCGCUGGCCACACGGGCCCUCCGAGUACCCGCUCCCAUCGGCGUGGCGUGGGGAGGGACGGUGCUGCAGAGGUGUGGAAGGCAGAGAGGUCCUUCCAGGGUCGGGCCAAGCACGGGACCUGAAGGUCACUGGGAAACUGAAAAGUUAGAUGUGGAGUAAAGGUAGCCUUGGGGGAUUAUGAUAUGAAUUACGUAAAUCUGUGUCUAGUUUCAGUGAUAAGAUACACAGCAAAAGAAUGACAGCAAAAGAAUGUAAUUGACCCUGUGCUAAGUGCUUUGGUUGCCGAAGGAGAGAUGAGUUCCUAUAAACAUUUGUGGAAAGGAACCAGCCUUUGCUUUUUUUCUGAUUCUAAUCGCCAUGAAAACUGUUGUGAUCCAAAAGACCUCAUUGGGCAUCUAGGUAAGAAACCAAGUGCUGCUCUAUAAAUACUCAUUGAAGCAACACUGACCUGGAAUCUCUUCAAGUCCUAGACAGUGCCCGUGGACCUGACAGCAUGGUGGGUCUAGACAGUGCCCAUGGACCAAUGGCUGAGUUCAAAACCUACAUUCAUGCUCUCCACAGGGAGAUUCUCCAGGCACUGGUUGCCCCGCUAUUCCAGGUACCGCAGUGGAAUAGCACUAGCUGUGGCAAAUUUCCCAGGCUCAGCUCUGGGAACAUCAGCUUUUCCCACCACAGAGAAUUCUGCAUUCCAGGCUGUUCUCUUCAGAAAGACAGUUCUGCAAAUUGAAAGAUUUUUCAGCAAAGAGUGGUUAAAGGACGUGGGCAACAAAAGUGGGCCCCAAAUCAAGGACCCUAAGAGAGAAGGGGAAGAGGCAUAUGGAAGGAAAGAGCAAUUGAAUCUACACAGCGGGCACCUCUAACCUGCAGGCAGAGGCUGGACUCAGCCUAUCACUGACUUUGGGAAACUCACUCAACUUCUGUGAGUGUAAAAUUAUAUAAGUUGAUCAUUGUAUCGAGCUUUUGCUGUUAUUGAAGGAUUAAAUUUGAAUAAAAGAAU